RNAcentral lists this long non-coding RNA (485 nucleotides) under Triticum aestivum (bread wheat). RNAcentral's name for it is "long non-coding RNA (TAES_LNC011144)". Lineage: Eukaryota; Viridiplantae; Streptophyta; Magnoliopsida; Poales; Poaceae. The record is from RNAcentral.
GGGUUUAUGAAUGGAAAGUUACUCAACUUUCUAAUCCCUCGUGCUUCAGGUUGAGUUGCAUCCCAUGAAAGGGUUGGAGCUAUCUGGUUCUUUCCUUGAGAGGGUUGAAGGUAUCAGGUUAAUAAUAUGGAACGAUUACUGAAUUCUGUUGCAGGCUCUUGCUAGUGGCAUCCACGGACGGACGAUUUGAAUUGAAGAAGAGUGGCUGAUAAUUUAUACUUUCGGAGAUUAUGGCCGGCAAAUAUUUUUUAGCUAAUUUAUAUAUCUAAUCAUGACUGUAGUACUCUUCCUUUAUACAACUCUGUAACUGUACUUGAUUAUGAAUGAGAGGUCUUGCUGUCAGAUAAAUGUAAACUGAAAUCAAGGAAAUGUCCAUUAUCAACACUAGUGGGAGUCAGUCAUGUAUCUCUUUCCUUUAUAGAUGCUGCUUGUGAAGCUAGCCGUUGUAUUCAGAUUCAUGAAUUUACUAUAAACACAACAAUUUG